AUACUUAUAUGGCAGGGGAGACACCAUGAUAAAGCAGGUGGUUUUCCCAGGAUGAGGCUCAUCCCUUGCACUCUGGGUGUGCUGACCCCUGUGAUUUCCCCAAAUGAGAGAAACUUGACUACAUAAUUUGUGGUAGUGUUUUUGGGGUUUU
Molecule: small nuclear RNA, 151 nt
Organism: Amazona collaria (yellow-billed parrot)
Lineage: Eukaryota; Metazoa; Chordata; Aves; Psittaciformes; Psittacidae
Gene: U1
Rfam family: U1 spliceosomal RNA
About the family: U1 is a small nuclear RNA (snRNA) component of the spliceosome (involved in pre-mRNA splicing). Its 5' end forms complementary base pairs with the 5' splice junction, thus defining the 5' donor site of an intron. There are significant differences in sequence and secondary structure between metazoan and yeast U1 snRNAs, the latter being much longer (568 nucleotides as compared to 164 nucleotides in human).
Source: Ensembl